Molecule: ribosomal RNA, 481 nt
Filed under: uncultured bacterium
Lineage: Bacteria
Description: partial 16S ribosomal RNA
Rfam family: Bacterial small subunit ribosomal RNA
Source: RNAcentral
GACGAACGUUGGCGGCGUGCUUAAUACAUGCAAGUCAACUGAAGCAGUGGUAGCAAUAUCGCUGUGGAGGUGGCGCACGGGUGAGUAACUCGUAGGUAAUCUGCCUUCAGGUCUGGCAUAACUCCGGGAAACCGGGGCUAAUAGCAGAUGAUGCAGCGGCUCGACAUCGAGACAGUUGUUAAAGCUAUGGCGCCUGAAGAUGAGCCUGCGUCUGAUUAGCUAGUUGGCGGGGUAACGGCCCACCAAGGCAACGAUCAGUAGCUGGUCUGAGAGGAUGAUCAGCCACACUGGAACUGAGACACGGUCCAGACUCCUACGGGAGGCAGCAGUAAGGAAUAUUGCUCAAUGGGAGAAAUCCUGAAGCAGCAACGCCGCGUGAGGGACGAAGGGCUUUUGCUUGUAAACCUCUGUAGUGAGAGAAAAAAAUCCCAAUCUUUGGGACAUGAUGGUAUCUCAAAAGUAAGCCCCGGCUAACUACGUG